RNAcentral lists this long non-coding RNA (723 nucleotides) under Sinocyclocheilus grahami. Its description in RNAcentral is "lncRNA (ENSSGRG00000048920.1)". Lineage: Eukaryota; Metazoa; Chordata; Actinopteri; Cypriniformes; Cyprinidae. The record is from RNAcentral.
GAGAAUACAGAAAUGCAAAGAAUUUGCAGAAGGCGUAACAGCUGCAGCAAAAAAAAAAAGAAAAAAAAAAAAAAAAAAAAAAAAGAAAAAAAAAAAAGGGUUUUAUGGUCCCCAAGACAUAACGUUUUAUAUUUUGUGUAAAAAUGGACUAAUAUUAUAUAAUAUGGAGAGAAACUUGCACAAAGCACUGAUGCCAGAAAGCAGACAAAUGAUAACACCAAAUCUUUAAUCAAGAAAUUGAAUAAAGCUCUGAAUUGAAAAGAUCAAGUAAAGAUUAUGCAAAAUGCCCAUUUCAAAUGACCACAUCCAUUACAAUUUCCCUGAUCGCUUCACGGAGCUUGACCACUUUCACUUCCAUAACCACUUCCCUGAUCUUGACCUCUUCUCUGAUCACUUCCACAGCUACUUGCACUUCCAUAACUACUUCCCUGAUCACUUCCCUGAGCUUGACCUCUUCCCUGAUCACUUCCCUGAGCUUGACUGCUUUCCUUAUCACUUCCCUGAGCUUGACCACUUCCAUAACUGCUUCCGCUUCCAUAACUGCUUCCCUGAGCUUGACUGCUUCCCGGAUCACGUCCCGGAGCUUGACCGCUUCCACGUCCAUAACUGCUUCCAUGAGCUUGACCGCUUCCCUGAUCACUUCCCUGAGCUUGACCGCUUCCACUUCCAUAACUGCUUCCCUGAUCACUUCCUUGAGCUUGACCGCUUCCACUUCCCUGAGCU